This 324-nucleotide ribosomal RNA is filed under the name uncultured eukaryote. RNAcentral describes it as "partial 18S ribosomal RNA". It matches the Rfam family "Eukaryotic small subunit ribosomal RNA", at positions 592 to 976 of the family's 1831-position model. The record is from RNAcentral.
CAAUAGCGUAUAUUAAAGCUGUUGCGGUUAAAAAGCUCGUAGUUGGAUUUCUGUCAAGGACAACUGGUCCGCCCUCCGGGUGAGCACAUAGUUUGGUCUUGACAUCUUGCUGGAAGCUGUUGCUGCACUUGGCUGUGUGGCGCAGUGUUCAGCACUUUCACUUUGAGGAAAUUGGAGUGUUUCAAGCAGGCACAUGCCUUUGGACACAGUAGCAUGGAAUAAUUAGAUUGGGCUUUUGCUCCAAUUUGUCGGUUUCUGGAGCUGAGGUGAGUAUUAAUGGGGAUUGUUGGGGGCAUCCGAUUUUAGCCAGGAUGUUUUCAUUGA